GACUCCUUCGGGUCGGGGAAACAGUUGGAAACGACUGCUAAUACCGGAUGUGCCUUCGGGUGAAAGAUUUAUUGCCAGAAGAUGAGCUCGCCUCUGAUUAACUAGUUGGUGGGGUAAAAGCCUACCAAGGCGACGAUCAGUAGCUGGUCUGAGAGGAUGAGCAGCCACACUGGGACUGAGACACGGCCCAGACUCCUACGGGAGGCAGCAGUGGGGAAUUUUCCGCAAUGGGCGAAAGCCUGACGGAGCAAGACCGCGUGAGGGAGGAAGGCCUUUGGGUUGUAAACCUCUUUUGUCAGGGAAGAACACUGACGGUACCUGACGAAUCAGCCUCGGCUAACUCCGUGCCAGCAGCCGCGGUAAUACGGAGGAGGCAAGCGUUAUCCGGAAUCAUUGGGCGUAAAGCGUCCGUAGGUGGCGAAGUAAGUCUGCUGUCAAAGACCACAGCUUAACUGUGGAAAGGCAGUGGAAACUGCAGCGCUAGAGUGCGGUAGGGGUAGAGGGAAUUCCAGGUGUAGCGGUGAAAUGCGUAGAGCUCUGGAAGAACACCGGUGGCGAAAGCGCUCUACUGGGCCGUAACUGACACUGAGGGACGAAAGCUAGGGGAGCGAAAGGGAUUAGAUACCCCAGUAGUC
Molecule: ribosomal RNA, 635 nt
Filed under: uncultured cyanobacterium
Lineage: Bacteria; Bacillati; Cyanobacteriota
Description: bacterial SSU rRNA
Rfam family: Bacterial small subunit ribosomal RNA
Source: RNAcentral